GAUGAACGCUGGCGGCGUGCCUAAUACAUGCAAGUCGAGCGAACAGACGAGGAGCUUGCUCCUCUGACGUUAGCGGCGGACGGGUGAGUAACACGUGGAUAACCUACCUAUAAGACUGGGAUAACUUCGGGAAACCGGAGCUAAUACCGGAUAAUAUAUUGAACCGCAUGGUUCAAUAGUGAAAGACGGUUUUGCUGUCACUUAUAGAUGGAUCCGCGCCGCAUUAGCUAGUUGGUAAGGUAACGGCUUACCAAGGCAACGAUGCGUAGCCGACCUGAGAGGAGGAGCGGCCACACAGGGAGUGAUACAAGGAAAAGACUCGAAGGGGGAGCAGCAGUAGGGGAGCGAGUGAAAUGGGUGAAAGCCUGAAGAAGCAAAGUUGUGUGAAAAAAGAAGGUUUUAAGAUCGUUAAACUCUGCUAGUAGGGAAGAACAAAGAUGUAAGUAGCUAGGCACGUCUUGACGGCAGCAGAUAAGAAGGCCAGGGCUAGCUACGUG
This 497-nucleotide ribosomal RNA is filed under the name uncultured bacterium. RNAcentral's name for it is "partial 16S ribosomal RNA". It matches the Rfam family "Bacterial small subunit ribosomal RNA", at positions 28 to 507 of the family's 1533-position model. The record is from RNAcentral.